This 442-nucleotide ribosomal RNA is filed under the name uncultured bacterium. RNAcentral's name for it is "partial 16S ribosomal RNA". It matches the Rfam family "Bacterial small subunit ribosomal RNA", at positions 338 to 795 of the family's 1533-position model. The record is from RNAcentral.
CCUACGGGUGGCAGCAGUAGGGAAUCUUUCACAAUGGGCGAAAGCCUGAUGGAGCAACGCCGCGUGCAGGAUGAAGGCCUUCGGGUUGUAAACUGCUUUUAUAAGCGAGAAAUAUGAUGGUAACUUAUGAAUAAGGAUCGGCUAACUACGCGCCAGCAGCCGCGGUCAUACGUAGGAUCCGAGCAUUAUCCGGAGUGACUGGGUGUAAAGAGUUGCGUAGGUGGCAUAAUAAGUAGCUAGUGAAAUCUGGUGGCUCAACCAUUCAGACUAUUAGCUAAACUGUUAAGCUCGAGACCGUUAGGGGUAACUGGAAGUUCUAGUGUAGGAGUGAAAUCCGUAGAUAUUAGAAGGAACACCAAUAGCGUAGGCAGGUUGCUGGGACGGUUCUGACACUAAGGCACGAAAGCGUAGGGAGCAAACGGGAUUAGAUACCCCUGUAGUC